Molecule: ribosomal RNA, 296 nt
Filed under: uncultured Anaerolineaceae bacterium
Lineage: Bacteria; Bacillati; Chloroflexota; Anaerolineae; Anaerolineales; Anaerolineaceae
Description: partial 16S ribosomal RNA
Rfam family: Bacterial small subunit ribosomal RNA
Source: RNAcentral
GAUGUUCGGUUAAGUCCGCUAACGAGCGCAACCCUCGUCGUAUGUUAUAUGUGUCAUACGAGACUGCCGGUAAAAGCCGGAGGAAGGUGAGGAUGAUGUCAAGUCAGCAUGACCUUUAUAUCCAGGGCUACACACACGCUACAAUGGUCUGUACAAUGGGUAGCCAAGCCGCGAGGCGGAGCCAAUCCUGAAAGCAGGCCUCAGUUCAGAUUGCAGUCUGCAACUCGACUGCAUGAAGCCGGAGUUGCUAGUAACCGCAGGUCAGCAAUACUGCGGUGAAUACGUUCCCGGGUCUU